Molecule: ribosomal RNA, 472 nt
Filed under: uncultured bacterium
Lineage: Bacteria
Description: bacterial SSU rRNA
Rfam family: Bacterial small subunit ribosomal RNA
Source: RNAcentral
UUCGCAAUGCCCGAAAGGGUGAACGAGCGACGCCGCGUGCGGGAUGAAGGGUUUCGGCUUGUAAACCGCUUUUCUUUGGGAAGAAGGUCUGUCUCGUGCAGAUGGGCUCGACGGUACCAGAGGAAUAAGCCUCGGCUAACUCCGUGCCAGCAGCCGCGGUAAGACGGGGGAGGCGAGCGUUGUUCGGAUUUACUGGGCGUAAAGGGUGUGUAGGCGGCCGCGCAAGUCUGGUGUGAAAACUUCACCGCUCAACGGGAAGCGGGCACUGGAAACUGCGCGGCUCGAGUAUGGUAGAGGCAAGCGGAAUUCCUGGUGUAGCGGUGGAAUGUGUAGAUAUCAGGAAGAACACCGGUGGCGAAGGCGGCUUGCUGGGCCAUUACUGACGCUGAGACACGAAAGCGUGGGGAGCAAACGGGAUUAGAUACCCCGGUAGUCCACGCUGUAAGCGAUGGGCACUAAGUAGAGGGGUUUU